Phyllostomus discolor (pale spear-nosed bat) is the source of this 412-nucleotide non-coding RNA. The record is from the annotation of a RefSeq genome assembly. Lineage: Eukaryota; Metazoa; Chordata; Mammalia; Chiroptera; Phyllostomidae.
CAGCCCAGCCCCAGCUGUGUGGACUGAGGAGCAGCCUGCUCACCAUGGCCUGGGUCCCCGUGCUCCUCGUGCUGCUCUGUCACUGCACAGGUUCCCUCUCCCAGCCUGUGCUGACUCAACCACCAUCUAUGUCUGCAUCUCCUGAAGCCACAGCCAGACUUACCUGCACUCUCAGCAGUGGCUUUGUUGUUGGUGGCUACUACAUAAAUUGGUACCAGCAGAAGCCAGAGAGCCCUCCCCGGCAUCUCCUUGCAUAUAAAUCAGACUCAGACAAGCACCAGGGCUCCGGGGUCCCCAGCCGCUUCUCUGGAUCCAAAGACUCCUCGGCCAAUGCAGGGCUCCUGCUCAUCUCUGGGUUGUAGCCUGAGGACGAGGCCAACUAUUACUGUGCUAUAUGGCACGGAAACAGUAA